CCUACGGGAGGCAGCAGUGAGGAAUAUUGGUCAAUGGACGAGCGUCUGAACCAGCCAAGUAGCGUGAAGGAUGACUGCCCUAUGGGUUGUAACCUUCUUUUAUAAAGGAAUAAAACGAGGCACGUGUGCCUUUUUGCAUGUACUUUAUGAAUAAGGAUCGGCUAACUCCGUGCCAGCAGCCGCGGUAAUACGGAGGAUCCGAGCGUUAGCCGGAUUUAUUGGGGUUAAAGGGAGCGUAGAUGGGUUGUUAAGUCAGUUGUGAAAGUUUGCGGCUCAAACGUAAAAUUGCAAUUGAUACUGGCAGUCUUGAGUACAGUUGAGGUAGGCGGAAUUCGUGGUGUAGCGGUGAAAUGCUUAGAUAUCACGAAGAACCCCGAUUGCGAAGGCAGCUUACUAAACUGUGACUGACAUUGAUGCUCGAAAGUGUGGGUAUCAAACAGGAUUAGAUACCCGAGUAGUC
This 460-nucleotide ribosomal RNA is filed under the name uncultured bacterium. Its description in RNAcentral is "partial 16S ribosomal RNA". It matches the Rfam family "Bacterial small subunit ribosomal RNA", at positions 338 to 795 of the family's 1533-position model. The record is from RNAcentral.